AGUAGGGAAUCUUCCGCAAUGCGCGAAAGCGUGACGGGGCAAUGCCGCGUGCAGGAUGAAGCCCCUCGGGGUGUAAACUGCUGUCAGGGUGCAGGAAAGACAUGACCAUACCCAAAGGAAGCACCGGCUAACUCUGUGCCAGCAGCCGCGGUAAUACAGAGGGUGCGAGCGUUAAUCGGAAUCACUGGGCUUAAAGGGUGCGUAGGCGGAUGCAUAGGCGCUUUGUGAAAUCCCACGGCUCAACCGUGGAAUUGCUUGGCGAACCAUGCGUCUUGAGGUUGGUAGAGGUCACUGGAACGAUAGGUGGAGCGGUGAAAUGCGUAGAUAUCUAUCGGAACGCCAAAGGUGAAGACAGGUGACUGGGCCAAAUCUGACGCUGAGGCACGAAAGCGUGGGGAGCAAACGGGAUUAGAUACCCCGGUAGUCCACGCUGUAAACGAUGCAUACUUGGUCGGAGUGGUUUGACUCCAUUCCGGCCGUAGGAAAACUGAUGAGUA
This 497-nucleotide ribosomal RNA is filed under the name uncultured Planctomycetota bacterium. Its description in RNAcentral is "bacterial SSU rRNA". It matches the Rfam family "Bacterial small subunit ribosomal RNA", at positions 353 to 866 of the family's 1533-position model. Lineage: Bacteria; Pseudomonadati; Planctomycetota. The record is from RNAcentral.